This 253-nucleotide ribosomal RNA is filed under the name uncultured bacterium. RNAcentral's name for it is "partial 16S ribosomal RNA". It matches the Rfam family "Bacterial small subunit ribosomal RNA", at positions 524 to 776 of the family's 1533-position model. The record is from RNAcentral.
UACGUAGGGCGCAAGCGUUGUCCGGAAUUAUUGGGCGUAAAGAGCUCGUAGGCGGUCUGUCGCGUCGGAUGUGAAAGCCCGGGGCUUAACCCCGGGUCUGCAUUCGAUACGGGCAGACUAGAAUGUGGUAGGGGAGAUCGGAAUUCCUGGUGUAGCGGUGAAAUGCGCAGAUAUCAGGAGGAACACCGGUGGCGAAGGCGGAUCUCUGGGCCAUUACUGACGCUGAGGAGCGAAAGCGUGGGGAGCGAACAGG